This 24-nucleotide non-coding RNA is filed under the name Arabidopsis thaliana (thale cress). Lineage: Eukaryota; Viridiplantae; Streptophyta; Magnoliopsida; Brassicales; Brassicaceae. The record is from RNAcentral.
AUCCAGUAACCAAAAGACUUGGGA